RNAcentral lists this long non-coding RNA (1420 nucleotides) under Ananas comosus (pineapple). Its description in RNAcentral is "long non-coding RNA (ACOM_LNC001478)". The record is from RNAcentral. Lineage: Eukaryota; Viridiplantae; Streptophyta; Magnoliopsida; Poales; Bromeliaceae.
UAGAGUGCGUCAGGGGUGCUUUUGGAAGCACGGAGCACUCCGUGCUUCCAAGUUGUUUUUGAUGUUGGGACUUUUGAAUCGACGAUUGGCUCCGUUAGACUUGAUCUAGAGUAUUUGAAGUAUCUAGAAAAUAAAUUUUGCGAUUUUUCGAUAUCAUUUGCCUAGUGAUCGAAGUGGCUCAAAAUCAACGGCUGAAAAUAAAAAUCUUACAAAAUAUGAUGAUAUGACAUUAAAAUUUUAGAUCAAAGUUAUUGAUCUUGUUUUAUAUGGUAUAAAGAAUUUUCUAUCAAAAUUUCAUGUGAUUUGGAUAUUUUUACACCGUUAAACUUGCAAACAGCUCACCACGGCCAUUAAAAUUAUUAAUUUUGAGCCUCUUCGAUCACUAGGCAAAUAAUAUCGAAAAAUCGCGAAAUUUAUUUUCUAGGUACUUGAAAUACUCUAGAUCAACUCUAACAGAGCCGAUCGUCGAUUCGAAAGUCCGAACAUCGAAAACAACUUGAAAGCACGGAGGGCUCCGUGCUUCCAGAAGCAUACCAGCCCACUCUCUCUCUCUCUUUCUCUCUCUCUCUCUCUCUCUAUAUAUAUAUAUAUACUAUUUAUAAAAGCGUGAGUUUUGAAUUUUUUUUUUUUUCUAAAAAUGCCUCUAUCUUUUUUAUUAAUAGUUUUAUGUUCAGUAAUUUUCAACCAAUCAUUUCAAAUAAUUCACUAAGUAAUAAUUUAUUCUCAAAUAAAGAUAUUAAUUUUUUGCCAUUAGAUCUUUUCUAACGAUUGAAAAUAAAAGUAUCUGUCACUUUUUGUGACAAUAAUAUCCUUAUUUUUAUAUCACAUUUUUUAUGUACGCGUUUCUCAAAUAUUUUCUUUCUCACUCAUAAUAUACGUACCCAUCAAUCCUUUCUCAACGUAAUAUCCGUAAAUUUUUCAAAUAUCUCAUUAAUCUACCUAUCAUAUAUGUCAACUACCUACAUAAUAUCCGGUUAACCUUUCUCACACGUAAUAUCCACGCAUUUUUCAAAUAUCUCAUCAAAAUUUUAAUCUUUUCUCUUCGUUUCUAAAGAAUUUUUUCAGCCUAUCAUAAUUUUGAAUUAAAUAUAUCAUCGCAUUUGAAUUUAAAUAUUAAAAAGGAUCAAAAUAAAAUUUUAAAUUUUAAAUUAAAUAUGAAUUUUAUUACGAAAAUAUCUCUAUCUUUUUAACUAAUUUUUUUAUGUCGAGGAAUUUUGAGUUCGUCAGAAAUAUAUAAUAUCUCCAUUAUCUUCGCAUUUAAACUUAAAUCUUAAAGUAGAUCAAAAUUAAAUUUUAAAUUAAACAUCAAUUUCUUUUCGAAAAUGUCUCUAUCUUUUUUACUAAUUUUUUCAUCGUCAGAAAUUUUGAACCAUUUUUCUAAAUAAUUCAUUAAAUUUUGGAUUUCUCAAAAAUAUAUAAU